RNAcentral lists this transfer RNA (82 nucleotides) under bacterium. RNAcentral describes it as "tRNA-Leu". It matches the Rfam family "tRNA". From Rfam's summary of the family: Transfer RNA (tRNA) molecules are approximately 80 nucleotides in length. Their secondary structure includes four short double-helical elements and three loops (D, anti-codon, and T loops). RNAcentral also lists the same sequence under 2 other names. The record is from RNAcentral.
GCGGGAGUGGUGGAAUUGGUAGACACGCUGGAUUUAGGAUCCAGUGCCGCGAGGUGUGAGGGUUCGACUCCCUCCUCCCGCA